AGUGAACGCUGGCGGUAUGCCUAACACAUGCAAGUCGAACGGCAGCACAGUAAGAGCUUGCUCUUACGGGUGGCGAGUGGCGGACGGGUGAGGAAUACAUCGGAAUCUACUUUUUCGUGGGGGAUAACGUAGGGAAACUUACGCUAAUACCGCAUACGACCUACGGGUGAAAGCAGGGGAUCUUCGGACCUUGCGCGAUUGAAUGAGCCGAUGUCGGAUUAGCUAGUUGGCGGGGUAAAGGCCCACCAAGGCGACGAUCCGUAGCUGGUCUGAGAGGAUGAUCAGCCACACUGGAACUGAGACACGGUCCAGACUCCUACGGGAGGCAGCAGUAGGGAAUAUUGGGCAAUGGGCGAAAGCCUGAUGCAGCAAUACCGCGUGAGUGAAGAAGGCCUUCGGGUUGUAAAGCUCUUUUAUUGGGAAAGAAAAGAAGCAGGUUAAUACCCCGCUGUUCUGACGGUACCCAAAGAAUAAGCCACGGCUAACUUCGUG
RNAcentral lists this ribosomal RNA (492 nucleotides) under uncultured bacterium. Its description in RNAcentral is "partial 16S ribosomal RNA". It matches the Rfam family "Bacterial small subunit ribosomal RNA", at positions 29 to 507 of the family's 1533-position model. The record is from RNAcentral.